AGCAGCCGCGGUAAUUCCAGCUCCAAUAGCGUAUAUUAAAGUUGUUGCAGUUAAAAAGCUCGUAGUUGAAUUUCGGGAUCAAUUUAUCGGUCGUGCCAACGGUAUGAACUGGUACAAUUGGUUUCUCCCUUCUGAUGAAGCACGAUGUCAUUAACUUGGUGUCGUGGGGAAUCAGGACUGUUACUUUGAAAAAAUUAGAGUGUUUAAAGCAGGCCUUGGCUUGAAUACAUUAGCAUGGAAUAAUGAAAUAGGACGUUUGAUCCUAUUUCGUUGGUUUCUAGGAUCGACGUAAUGAUUAAUAGGGAUAGUUGGGGGCAUUAGUAUUCAAUUGUCAGAGGUGAAAUUCUUGGAUUUAUUGAAGACUAACUACUGCGAAAGCAUUUGCCAAGGAUGUUUUCAUUAAUCAAGAACGAAAGUUAGGGGAUCGAAGACGAUCAGAUACCGUCGUAG
RNAcentral lists this ribosomal RNA (450 nucleotides) under uncultured Glomeromycotina. Its description in RNAcentral is "SSU rRNA". It matches the Rfam family "Eukaryotic small subunit ribosomal RNA", at positions 569 to 1023 of the family's 1831-position model. Lineage: Eukaryota; Fungi; Glomeromycota. The record is from RNAcentral.